Molecule: ribosomal RNA, 774 nt
Filed under: uncultured Neocallimastigales
Lineage: Eukaryota; Fungi; Neocallimastigomycota; Neocallimastigomycetes; Neocallimastigales
Description: partial large subunit ribosomal RNA
Rfam family: Eukaryotic large subunit ribosomal RNA
Source: RNAcentral
UCAGACGAUGCGUCAUGCAUAUCAAUAAGCGGAGGAAAAGAAACUAACAAGGAUUCCCCUAGUAACGGCGAGUGAAGCGGGAAGAGCUCAAAUUUGAAAUCUUAAAGGGUUUCCCUUUACGAAUUGUAGUUUAAAGAAGUGUUUUCUGUUGAGGUUUUGGUAAAAGUUCUUUGGAAUAGGACAUCAUAGAGGGUGAGAAUCCCGUAUUUGACCUUUACUUUCAACUUUGUGAUACACUUUCAAAGAGUCGGAUUGUUUGGGAAUGCAGUCCAAAAUGGGUGGUAAAUUUCAUCUAAAGCUAAAUAUUGGCGAGAGACCGAUAGCGAACAAGUACCGUGAGGGAAAGAUGAAAAGAACUUUGAAAAGAGAGUUAAACAGUACGUGAAAUUGUCAAAAGGGAAGCGUUUGACACCAGUGUUGUUUUUCUGAAAAUCAAUUAAAGAACUGUUUAUGCUAAGUUGUUUAGACUUUAUCAGCUAACUGUUUAGUUUUGAGCUUUUCUUUAAUGCACUUUUCAGUUAACAAGUCAACAUCAAUUUCUUUUGCCGUAAAAAAGCUUGAGGAAGGUGGCUUGAGAUUCGUCUUAAGUGUUUAUAGCCUCUUGCCUAUGCAGUCGGAGAGAUUGAGGUCUGCAGCGUAGAUCCUUCGGGGCUAAAUGCAUUUGUGCUAAGUUAUAGCAUUUUAUAGACAACUUGUUGACUAUGAUUUGUCUUGUAGCUUACUCGCUUAUGUUAUUUUACCUACGCUUAGGAUGUUGAAUCUGUGCGAGACUAC